Molecule: long non-coding RNA, 436 nt
Organism: Thalassophryne amazonica
Lineage: Eukaryota; Metazoa; Chordata; Actinopteri; Batrachoidiformes; Batrachoididae
Exons: 3
Source: RefSeq, a predicted model, not a curated record
CAUGUUAAAAGUACAGGACCACUAAGCUUUUUAAGAUUCAAGGCAUAAAAAUAAUUUUCUUUGGCACCAAUAAAAUGUUAUUUAUUAGACUUUAAAUAGGGGAUUCAUAUGACAUUGCCAAUAUGAUCAAAAUUCAUGUUGUCUAGACAAACUUAAUAAAUAAGUUCCCCUGAAGGGUAAUUUUUCGAAAGAACAGACGGCAUUGAACUACUUACGGUUGCCACGGUAGCCAGGGGCAGAUCCGGGGGUUUUAUGGACCAAAAAAACCUGAACCCUGUUUCUGAACAUUCUAUUCAACAACAAGUGACCCAGGUAGAUAAAUUUGUACUGGACCAUGAUACAGCAAAAGUGUUCACUUUUUUAGCUACAGACAUUUCAAAUGUUCUCUGUUACUUGUCACCAUAAUGUGUUAGCAUCACAUUCUUCAUUGUACAAU